RNAcentral lists this ribosomal RNA (465 nucleotides) under Vreelandella stevensii. Its description in RNAcentral is "partial 16S ribosomal RNA". It matches the Rfam family "Bacterial small subunit ribosomal RNA", at positions 338 to 795 of the family's 1533-position model. The record is from RNAcentral. Lineage: Bacteria; Pseudomonadati; Pseudomonadota; Gammaproteobacteria; Oceanospirillales; Halomonadaceae.
CCUACGGGAGGCUGCAGUGGGGAAUAUUGGACAAUGGGGGCAACCCUGAUCCAGCCAUGCCGCGUGUGUGAAGAAGGCCCUCGGGUUGUAAAGCACUUUCAGUGAGGAAGAACGCCUGGUGGUUAAUACCCAUCAGGAAAGACAUCACUCACAGAAAAAGCACCGGCUAACUCCGUGCCAGCAGCCGCGGUAAUACGGAGGGUGCGAGCGUUAAUCGGAAUUACUGGGCGUAAAGCGCGCGUAGGUGGCUUGAUAAGCCGGUUGUGAAAGCCCCGGGCUCAACCUGGGAACGGCAUCCGGAACUGUCAAGCUAGAGUGCAGGAGAGGAAGGUAGAAUUCCCGGUGUAGCGGUGAAAUGCGUAGAGAUCGGGAGGAAUACCAGUGGCGAAGGCGGCCUUCUGGACUGACACUGACACUGAGGUGCGAAAGCGUGGGUAGCAAACAGGAUUAGAUACCCUGGUAGUC